RNAcentral lists this non-coding RNA (108 nucleotides) under Pseudomonas rhizosphaerae. Its description in RNAcentral is "SAH sequence". It matches the Rfam family "SAH (S-adenosyl-L-homocysteine) riboswitch aptamer". The record is from Rfam by way of RNAcentral. Lineage: Bacteria; Pseudomonadati; Pseudomonadota; Gammaproteobacteria; Pseudomonadales; Pseudomonadaceae.
CCGUCCGAGGGGCGCUGCAGCAGGCUCGACCUGUCAGGCUCGGAUGGGGCGUUGUCCUUACAGGUCUUGCCUGGGGACGCCAAACGCACACAACGGCGCCCAUUCGAA